This 1452-nucleotide ribosomal RNA is filed under the name uncultured prokaryote. RNAcentral's name for it is "partial 16S ribosomal RNA". It matches the Rfam family "Bacterial small subunit ribosomal RNA". The record is from RNAcentral.
CCUGGCUCAGCGCGUACGCUGGCGGCAUGGCUAAAACAUGCAAGUCGAACGCGAAAGCACUUCGGUGCAAGUAGAGUGGCGGAAGGGCGAGUAAUGCGUUCCUAACGUGCCCCUGGGUGAGGGAUAGCAUCGGGAAACCGGUGGUAAUACCUCAUGAUCUCAUCGUGCUGCAUGGUGUGAUGAGCAAAGGUUUACUGCCCAGGGAUCGGGAAACGUCCUAUCAGCUUGUUGGUGAGGUAACGGCUCACCAAGGCUUAGACGGGUAGCGGGUGUGAGAGCAUGACCCGCCGCAUCGGGACUGAGACACUGCCCGGACUCCUACGGGAGGCUGCGGCAACGAAUAUUCCGCAAUGCGCGAAAGCGUGACGGAGCAAUGCCGCGUGCAGGAUGAAGCCCCUCGGGGUGUAAACUGCUGUCAGGGGUCACCAAGAUCUGAGGAACCCCAGAGGAAGGGCCGGCUAACUUCGUGCCAGCAGCCGCGGUAAUACGAAGGGCCCGAGCGUUGCGCGGAAUCACUGGGCUUAAAGCUGCGUAGGCGGGCUUGCAAGUGCUUUGUGAAAUCCCCCGGCUCAACCGUGGAAUGGCUUGGCAGACUGCAGGUCUUGAGGUCGAAAGAGGCUGCCGGAACUGUAGGUGUAGCGGUGAAAUGCGUAGAUAUCUACAGGAACGCCAAAGGAGUAAUCAGGCAGCUGGUUCGAUUCUGACGCUGAGGCACGAAAGCGUGGGGAGCGAACGGGAUUAGAUACCCCGUUAGUCCACGCCGUAAACGAUGUGCACUAGUUCCUGGAGAUUUUGACGUCUUCGGGGACGACGUAAAAACAUUAAGUGCACCGCCUGGGGAGUACGGUCGCAAGAUUAAAACUCAAAGGAAUUGACGGGGGCUCACACAAGCGGUGGAGCAUGUGGCUUAAUUCGAGGCAACGCGAAGAACCUUAUCCUGGGCUUGACAUGUAUGGAUUAACUCCCCGAAAGGGGAGCCACACUCUUUGAGUGGAACGUACACAGGUGCUGCAUGGCUGUCGUCAGCUCGUGCCGUGAGGUGUUAGGUUAAGUCCUUCAACGAGCGAAACCCUUGCCGUUAGUUGCCAGCGCGUUAUGUCGGGGACUCUAGAGAGACUGCCGGUGUUAAACCGGAGGAAGGUGGGGAUGACGUCAAGUCCUCAUGGCCUUUAUGCCCUGGGCUGCACACGUGCUACAAUGCGGCGUACAGAGCGAAGCAAUAUCGUAAGGUGGAGCAAAUCGCACAAAGCGCCGCUCAGUUCGGAUUGUGGUCUGCAACUCGACCACAUGAAGCUGGAAUCGCUAGUAAUCGCGUAUCAGCUACGACGCGGUGAAUACGUUCCUGAGCCUUGUACACACCGCCCGUCAAGUCAUGGAAGCCGGUAGUGCCCGAAGUGGCCCUGAUUCAGGGGUCCCUACGGCAAGCUCGGUGACUGGGACGAAGUCGUAACA